RNAcentral lists this ribosomal RNA (253 nucleotides) under uncultured bacterium. RNAcentral's name for it is "partial 16S ribosomal RNA". It matches the Rfam family "Bacterial small subunit ribosomal RNA", at positions 524 to 776 of the family's 1533-position model. The record is from RNAcentral.
UACGUAGGGACCGAGCGUUGUCCGGAAUCAUUGGGCGUAAAGAGCGUGUAGGCGGCCCGGUAAGUCUGUUGUGAAAGUCCAGGGCUCAACCCUGGAAAGCCGAUGGAUACUGCCGGGCUAGAGUUCGGAAGAGGCGAGUGGAAUUCCUGGUGUAGCGGUGAAAUGCGCAGAUAUCAGGAGGAACACCAAUGGCGAAGGCAGCUCGCUGGGACGUGACUGACGCUGAGACGCGAAAGCGUGGGGAGCAAACAGG